UGGUUUUCAAAACAGCUUGUCUCUCGA
Molecule: small RNA, 27 nt
Filed under: Bombyx mori (domestic silkworm)
Lineage: Eukaryota; Metazoa; Arthropoda; Insecta; Lepidoptera; Bombycidae
Description: ovarian small RNA-35250
Source: RNAcentral